Molecule: ribosomal RNA, 253 nt
Filed under: uncultured bacterium
Lineage: Bacteria
Description: partial 16S ribosomal RNA
Rfam family: Bacterial small subunit ribosomal RNA
Source: RNAcentral
CACGUAGGGCGCGAGCGUUGUCCGGAAUUAUUGGGCGUAAAGAGCUCGUAGGCGGCCUGUUGCGUCCGCUGUGAAAGCCCGGGGCUUAACCCCGGGUCGGCAGUGGAUACGGGCAGGCUAGAGGUAGGUAGGGGAGAAUGGAAUUCCUGGUGUAGCGGUGAAAUGCGCAGAUAUCAGGAGGAACACCGGUGGCGAAGGCGGGUCUCUGGGCAGUAACUGACGCUGAGAAGCGAAAGCGUGGGUAGCGAACAGG